UUGUUCCCUUACCGCUAGAAAAAUUGUCCAAAAAUUUUGAAUUCAGUUCUACGUAAUGAACAUUUAAAUGACAUAUAGUUUACAAGUGGGAACAAAUCUAAUGUACAGGUAGCUAAACAAGGUGUAUAGAUGUGAACAAAUGUAAUGUGAAACCAGUGUACACUACACUAAACUAAUUGUAAACAUGUUUACUCUACACGGCGUUUGGUGUGAACACGGCCUAAUUUGUACAUGUUUAUUUUUA
RNAcentral lists this long non-coding RNA (244 nucleotides) under Mytilus galloprovincialis (Mediterranean mussel). Lineage: Eukaryota; Metazoa; Mollusca; Bivalvia; Mytilida; Mytilidae. The record is from RNAcentral.